Molecule: ribosomal RNA, 497 nt
Filed under: uncultured bacterium
Lineage: Bacteria
Description: partial 16S ribosomal RNA
Rfam family: Bacterial small subunit ribosomal RNA
Source: RNAcentral
GAUGAACGCUGGCGGCGUGCCUAAUACAUGCAAGUCGAGCGAACGGACGAGAAGCUUGCUUUUCUGAUGUUAGCGGCGGACGGGUGAGUAACACGUGGAUAACCUACCUAUAAGACUGGGAUAACUUCGGGAAACCGGAGCUAAUACCGUAUAAUAUUUUGAACCGCAUGGUUCAAAAGUGAAAGACGGUCUUGCUGUCACUUAUAGAUGGAUCCGCGCUGCAUUAGCUAGUUGGUAAGGUAACGGCUUACCAAGGCAACGAUGCAUAGCCGACCUGAGAGGGUGAUCGGCCACACUGGAACUGAGACACGGUCCAGACUCCUACGGGAGGCAGCAGUCGGGAAUCUUCCGCAAUGGGCGAAAGCCUGACGGAGCAACGCCGCGUGAGUGAUGAAGGUCUUCGGAUCGUAAAACUCUGUUAUUAGGGAAGAACAUAUGUGUAAGUAACUGUGCACAUCUUGACGGUACCUACUCAGAAAGCCACGGCUAACUACGUG